This 424-nucleotide ribosomal RNA is filed under the name uncultured prokaryote. RNAcentral's name for it is "bacterial SSU rRNA". It matches the Rfam family "Bacterial small subunit ribosomal RNA", at positions 355 to 796 of the family's 1533-position model. The record is from RNAcentral.
UGGGGAAUAUUGGACAAUGGGCGCAAGCCUGAUCCAGCCAUGCCGCGUGAGUGAAGAAGGCCUUAGGGUUGUAAAGCUCUUUCAGUGGUGACGAUGAUGACGGUAGCCACAGAAGAAGCCCCGGCUAACUCCGUGCCAGCAGCCGCGGUAAUACGGAGGGGGCAAGCGUUGUUCGGAAUUACUGGGCGUAAAGGGCGCGUAGGCGGGCGAUCAAGUCAGAGGUGAAAGCCCUGGGCUCAACCUGGGAACUGCCUUUGAAACUGAUUGCCUUGAGUUCGGGAGAGGAUGGCGGAAUUCCCAGUGUAGAGGUGAAAUUCGUAGAUAUUGGGAAGAACACCAGUGGCGAAGGCGGCCAUCUGGCCCGCAACUGACGCUGAGGCGCGAAAGCGUGGGGAGCAAACAGGAUUAGAUACCCCCGUAGUCC